This is a long non-coding RNA of Capra hircus (goat), 718 nucleotides long. RefSeq lists it as uncharacterized. The transcript is spliced from 2 exons. Lineage: Eukaryota; Metazoa; Chordata; Mammalia; Artiodactyla; Bovidae. The record is from RefSeq and is a predicted model, not a curated record.
UCUUCCGGCGGAAGUCGACGCCACGCCCUCCCCGGCGCGUCUGUUUUCACAAGCGCCGAGUGGGGUGUCUGUGUUCUAGGGCACUGAUUUCUACAGGUUCCCAGCGCCAGGAGGGGCAGAGGGCGAUCCGGAUGGGACGCAGCCAGCCACUGUACGGCCUGUAAUCCACUCUUACCCCCCAGCUACAGGACCGCGCAUGGGAUUGCUUUGAAGAUCUGAUGAGAACCAUGACUCUCCCAAGAGAAAUGCACGACAAUUUUACAAACAAGCUUCGUAAGGUUCAGACCCAGAAGCCAGGGUAAGAAUUCCCUUAAAUAAAUGUUUUGCUUGGUAGGAAGGAUGAAGGGAGAUGUGGAGUAGGGGAGACAAAUGCAAGAAGCAAAUACUACCAGUAGAACAUGACCCAGAUACUUUCAGGUAUGUGAUGUUUUUCUAAGUAAAAUGAUGAGCGAUUGUCUUAGUUUACAGAAAUCCACGUGCCACAAUUUCUAGAGGUAUCUUGGAUCUUUCUAAUCCUUCCCUGGUAAAAUGGGGGAUGUCAGCAAGAGUUUGAGGAUAUCUAAGUUGUAAAAUGGACAUGAGAACAUCACCAAUAAGCUGGACUCCAGACAGCUCUGUCUAGGAUUUUAUUAGACUGCUUUUUUUCCCCCAAUAUACCUGUAUUGGAAGAUUGAGACAAAAAGGCACAAACUCACAUUAAAUAAACAAGGUAAUCUAA